UGGGGAAUAUUGGACAAUGGGCGCAAGCCUGAUCCAGCAAUGCCGCGUGUGUGAAGAAGGCCUGCGGGUUGUAAAGCACUUUCAGUGGGGAAGAAACGACCGGGGUUAAUACCCCCGGUGUUUGACGUUACUCACAGAAGAAGCACCGGCUAACUCCGUGCCAGCAGCCGCGGUAAUACGGAGGGUGCAAGCGUUAAUCGGAAUCACUGGGCGUAAAGCGCACGUAGGCGGCGCGACCAGUCAGUUGUGAAAGCCCCGGGCUCAACCUGGGAACGGCAAUUGAUACUAUCGUGCUCGAGUCUGAGAGAGGGGGGUGGAAUUCCAGGUGUAGCGGUGAAAUGCGUAGAUAUCUGGAGGAACAUCAGUGGCGAAGGCGGCCCCCUGGCUCAAGACUGACGCUGAGGUGCGAAAGCGUGGGGAGCAAACA
RNAcentral lists this ribosomal RNA (427 nucleotides) under uncultured Chromatiaceae bacterium. RNAcentral's name for it is "partial 16S ribosomal RNA". It matches the Rfam family "Bacterial small subunit ribosomal RNA", at positions 355 to 774 of the family's 1533-position model. Lineage: Bacteria; Pseudomonadati; Pseudomonadota; Gammaproteobacteria; Chromatiales; Chromatiaceae. The record is from RNAcentral.